RNAcentral lists this ribosomal RNA (459 nucleotides) under Triticum aestivum (bread wheat). RNAcentral describes it as "partial small subunit ribosomal RNA". Lineage: Eukaryota; Viridiplantae; Streptophyta; Magnoliopsida; Poales; Poaceae. The record is from RNAcentral.
AUGCCUGGUACAAUGGAAAAAUUGUUGAUGUUUUAUGGUGACAUCAUACGUGACGGCCCUUUCGGGGUUGAUGUCUCGAGGUGCAGAAGUAAGAGAGUUUUUGUGAAAGACAUGGUCAACACAGGGUUCAUGGACGUUAAAAGGUGCAUCCAAGCCGAGUUUGGUCCUGAGACGGUUGGAAAGAAUAUGGUUGUCAAAGCUUUCGUCGUCGUCGGUAGGGUUGAUGGGACCCCUGCCCGUUGGGGCUUGAGGCAGGUGAACGGCGACCUAUCUUGGGGUAGUUACAUGAGGUUUGCAACCACACCUGGUAACUCUAUGUAUGGACGGCCAAUGGUUUAUGUGCGGUUUGUUGAUGCUGGUGUGCUCCGGUUAACUACCACUGGAGGCGCUCACACCCAAUCAGUGGCGCCGAUGGGGGCAAUCAUGUCCGUGAAGAAGGUGUGGUGGUUCCAACCGUGA